CGACCUACGGGUGAAAGCAGGGGAUCUUCGGACCUUGCGCGAUUGAAUGAGCCGAUGUCGGAUUAGCUAGUUGGCGGGGUAAAGGCCCACCAAGGCGACGAUCCGUAGCUGGUCUGAGAGGAUGAUCAGCCACACUGGAACUGAGACACGGUCCAGACUCCUACGGGAGGCAGCAGUGGGGAAUAUUGGACAAUGGGCGCAAGCCUGAUCCAGCCAUACCGCGUGGGUGAAGAAGGCCUUCGGGUUGUAAAGCCCUUUUGUUGGGAAAGAAAUCCAGCCGGCUAAUACCCGGUUGGGAUGACGGUACCCAAAGAAUAAGCACCGGCUAACUUCGUGCCAGCAGCCGCGGUAAUACGAAGGGUGCAAGCGUUACUCGGAAUUACUGGGCGUAAAGCGUGCGUAGGUGGUCGUUUAAGUCCGUUGUGAAAGCCCUGGGCUCAACCUGGGAACUGCAGUGGAUACUGGGCGACUAGAGUGUGGUAGAGGGUAGCGGAAUUCCUGGUGUAGCAGUGAAAUGCGUAGAGAUCAGGAGGAACAUCCAUGGCGAAGGCAGCUACCUGGACCAACAC
This 569-nucleotide ribosomal RNA is filed under the name Stenotrophomonas sp. RNAcentral describes it as "bacterial SSU rRNA". It matches the Rfam family "Bacterial small subunit ribosomal RNA", at positions 190 to 740 of the family's 1533-position model. Lineage: Bacteria; Pseudomonadati; Pseudomonadota; Gammaproteobacteria; Lysobacterales; Lysobacteraceae. The record is from RNAcentral.